Molecule: long non-coding RNA, 227 nt
Filed under: Capsicum annuum
Lineage: Eukaryota; Viridiplantae; Streptophyta; Magnoliopsida; Solanales; Solanaceae
Description: long non-coding RNA (CANN_LNC002824)
Source: RNAcentral
AAAGAACCUUAACUAGAAGGACUUUUUUGUUCCUCAAUCUACGAGUUUGAUAGUCUAAGACUUCGACUGGAAUCUCUUCAUAAGAGAGAGUGUUCUGAACAUCAAUUCUCUUAAUAGGGACUACAACUACUGGGUCACCUAUGCACUUCUUGAGCAAAGAGACAUGGAAGACUGGAUGGACUGAGGCUAGAUCUGAAGGCAAUUCGAGCUCAUAUGCUACCACGCCG